This 1796-nucleotide long non-coding RNA is filed under the name Nicotiana tabacum (common tobacco). RNAcentral's name for it is "long non-coding RNA (NTAB_LNC003785)". The record is from RNAcentral. Lineage: Eukaryota; Viridiplantae; Streptophyta; Magnoliopsida; Solanales; Solanaceae.
AUACGAAUACAAAGGCCCAAUAGCGCACCACAACCUGAACUUUCAGCAUGACUCCACAUGCGUCAUUACACAAAAUGGGGAUAUUACAAAUUGCUCCAAACAUUAAUACAUGAUCAUCCAUGUUUAAAAUUACAGCACUAAGUCAAUACGGAAAAUCAUGACUCAAAUUUACAGUAACAGCCCAUAAAUCAUCAUUAUACAAGUUGAGGUCUAUUAAAGUUGAGCCACAUUUAUUAGCGUACAGGUCCAAUUUUUAGUUUCAACAGAGUGUAACAUAUAAACACGAGCAAAAUAAUUGCAUCAGAAAAACAUAAUUUCAAAUUUACGAGAACAGCAACUCUAAUUACAACUAAUUGUUGGGAACAGUGAUUCGAUAAUUAAAAAAUAAUUAUAGUGAUCUCCCAUACAAUCUUCAUGUAUCAAUUAAUUUAUUACAUCGAAUAUGACUAAUAGCUAAACCUAUGAGCUAUCAUUCUGCAAUUAUGCAGUCCCAAAGUAUUACGACAAACAAGUCUCAAGCAGUUUAAUUCGUGCCUCCUUAUGCCUUAAUUAAUCCAAGUAGGCUCCCUAAUUUGCAAGAAAAAUAGUCACUGGCAUACUCUUGCAAACUAGAUUUGUGCAUAGCAAUCAAAAUAAGGACAUGAGCAGAUUAUUAGCAGACAUUAAUUUCAUAAAUCAUUCAUAGGGCAAUUAAUCGCAUGCAACUUUACUCUUCACCAUACUAUUAAACUCAGUAUGCUUUAACCUAUUCAUCCAACCAUUACAUCCAUCCUUGCAAGUAUUCAAACAUGUAAACAAAAAUCAACAUUUGAAACGAGCAGAAGUUUCAUCUUAGACUUCAUAGUUCCAUUAUUCAAAACACCAAACAGACAUAAACAAUUCAUCACUGAACUAACUGAAUUCAAAUCAUCACUAAGCUUAAAUCAGAAGAGAUUCAAUAAAUAUAGCAGUAACAAAUCAUAAUGUCAUGGAAAAAGAGGAAUCAAUUCAUUUUGCCAACAACAGUAAUUCAAAAUCAAAGGUGAGUACCUGAUUGUGCAGGAAUCACAUUAGAAAUGCCAAAUAAAGGCUAAGUAAGAGAAAAUUACAGCUCAGCCAAACAGGAACAGUAGAUCAGCAACUUCACAGCUCAAGUAUCAACCAGAAUUACAGGAAAAUGAAGCAGAAGAACAGAAAAUCGAACCAAUUUCUGAAAAACUCUUCUGUUUUGUUUUUGUUUUGUUCUUUUGGAUCUUUUUUUUGAGUUUUCUAGAUCUGGAUUUGAAUUCCAGAAUUUUUUAAGCUACUAGUUGUGAAUAUCCAUGUGUGAAGGUGAGAGAGUGACAGUAUGAGUAUGAAUGAGUGAAUAUGUAUGAAUGAGAAGAGCCCGUGAGGGGAAGGCAUCUUUUAUAACAGAUUUUCCCGCUGUUGCUUCUGUUAUUUUCCUUCUUUUUACUCCCUCUCAAUUUUGUUAUUUACAUGCUCAGCUCCUAGAUAAUUGACCUAUUGUACUGUUUUAUUCCACAUAAGCCCUAACUACUCUCUUCUAGAAGCUCCCUAGACAGCUAACAAUAAGGUUCCUCAAAUUUAAUUCUCCAAUUGCCCCUCUAGACCCCUGUUUCUUACUCUUUCUUUUAUUCUUGCCUUCUUCUUUUACCCCCUUUUAUUUUUACCCAUCAAAACUUGUAAGAGUGGACCUGGGCCGAAAUAAUUCAAGCACACUGCCCAGACCCAAUCUCUUUAUCUUUUCAACAGCCCAAAUUAAACUAACCUAAAUGGAUUGAUCAAUUCUAUAAACCAUCCUAAUUAACUGCAGA